This 1013-nucleotide long non-coding RNA is filed under the name Equus asinus (donkey). Its description in RNAcentral is "lncRNA (ENSEASG00005030956.1)". Lineage: Eukaryota; Metazoa; Chordata; Mammalia; Perissodactyla; Equidae. The record is from RNAcentral.
ACUUUCGGGGAUGGAGGGGAAGCCCAGGUACUCUCUGUGCUUCCUAACUGGCCGUGGAAGGGGAGGUGGAGACGGGAAGCGGCAGUCGGUUUCACUGCAGCGUCUGGGAUUCCUGCCCCGAGUUCUUCCUCAGAAACCGGCGGCGGCUGCGGACAGGGGCGGCUGGGCUGAGGGGCGGGAAGCCGCUGGCCAGCUUCACCCUCUCUCUGGGGCUCCUGCAGGGCAAGGGGAGCGGAUGUGAAGUUGUCCCUGUAGAUAUAAUUAACAGCAUUGUGGACAAGACCACAAGUUCAGAAGGAGCUUACAAAGGAGAAAUUCAUGCUGCAAAUGGUGACACUUAAGCCAAAAGCAAUAAAAUGCAUUCAUCUGGGACACUGUCGCCCUGGGGUUUAUGGCUUCCACAGGACAAUCCAAGUCUGGGCUUCAGACCUCGUCAUUCUGCCACACUGUGACCCCGAGGCAGGGCGCGCCAUAAACAGACCGGGAGGCUGCUCUGUGUGCCCUCGCUGCGGGCUGGCUGCUCUGGGAAGAACACGCAGCCCUCAACAGGGAAAUGCGAUAACUAUUCUGCUUCUUGGAAUGAUUUGCAGAUUCAUGCAUUCAAACAUUCUUCAGAUGCUGACUGGUGGUAUAUGUCACCACGUUCCCGGUGGGAUGCGACCUGGUGGUGGAAAACAGACAGCUCACUUAAACGCCAGUUCGGCCACUUACUAACCGUGUGACCUUGGGAAACUUACUUAACUUCUCUGAGCCGAAGUUUACUCACAGAAGCUGGACCCUUUGUCACGGAGCUGAACACACACACCUGGCCCAGGAGCUGGUGUCGCUGAAGGAGGAUCCAGGAGAAGGUGGGACAGCUGCAGGCCUGGCCCCGGCCCCAAGCCAACAAGAACGCGAGAGCCAGACUGUUAUACAGGGGAGGGAAAUGACACCGCCAAGAAGAAGGAGCGCUUCCUAAAUCCUACAUCCACCCUAAGGAAUAAACCUAAAGACUGUGCUUGCAUCAACGUGGC